RNAcentral lists this ribosomal RNA (594 nucleotides) under Clostridioides difficile. RNAcentral's name for it is "bacterial LSU rRNA". It matches the Rfam family "Bacterial large subunit ribosomal RNA", at positions 163 to 761 of the family's 2925-position model. The record is from RNAcentral. Lineage: Bacteria; Bacillati; Bacillota; Clostridia; Peptostreptococcales; Peptostreptococcaceae.
UACAUAGCUUAAUGAGGGGAACUCAGGGAACUGAAACAUCUAAGUACCUGAAGGAAGAGAAAGAAAUUCGAUUCCGUAAGUAGCGGCGAGCGAACGCGGAUUAGCCCAAACCAAUAAAGUUUUCUUUAUUGGGGUUGCGGACAUAUCAUAACGAAGAGGUAUCGUAAUUGAAGAGGUUUGGAAAGACCCACCACAGAAGGUAAUAGUCCUGUAUGUUAAACGAGAAGACUUUAGAUAUGAUCCAGAGUACCACGGGACACGUGAAACCCUGUGGGAAGCAGGAGGGACCACCCUCCAAGGCUAAAUACUACCUAGUGACCGAUAGCGUAUAGUACCGUGAGGGAAAGGGGAAAAGAACCCCGGGAGGGGAGUGAAAUAGAACCUGAAACCCUGCACUUACAAGCUGUGGAAGCACAGUUCUUGUGUGACCGCGUACUUUUUGUAGAACGGGCCAACGAGUUACGUUAAGUAGCAAGGUUAAGCACUUAAGGUGCGGAGCCGUAGCGAAAGCGAGUUUUAACUGAGCGUUCAGUUACUUGACGUAGACCCGAAACCGGGCGACCUACCCAUGAGCAGGAUGAAGCGAAAGUAAAA